CACGUCUCGGCCACGACCCCUGACUCUCGCCCCUAACACCAGCCUCGACUCCUCUACGACACCGCCGCCGCCCCUGAGUAUCGCCCCCAACCCCAGCCCCGACUCCGACACGAGAAAAAGAUUGAGGAGCUACACAAGAAGAAGGCAUGUGCAAGCUGUUGCUGUGGGGUUGGAGAUUAUAAUGUUUCUGAGAUUAACAUAUUUGUAAUGUGAUCAAAUAUCAACUUGUGUGAUCAUUUAUGUAAUAUUCUGUGGUUUGUGUAUUUUGUGUAUAAGACCAUAGUUUGAUGUGGGGAUUUUGUUGAGCAGUGGUCUUAUGUGAUCAUAUAUGUAAUAUUCGCUGAUAUCAUACUAUUGUAAUGGAGGUGCACGUAUGUGCCAAUGAAGAAGGAUGAACUGAACUCCUUUAUUAUCCUUCCCUUUACAGUGUUCUAUAUUGGUUGUAGGUUCUAUAUUGUAAAGAAAGGAAGAAUAUAUUGGUUGUAGGUUCUAUAUUGUAAAGAAA
Molecule: long non-coding RNA, 505 nt
Organism: Asparagus officinalis (garden asparagus)
Lineage: Eukaryota; Viridiplantae; Streptophyta; Magnoliopsida; Asparagales; Asparagaceae
Exons: 3
Source: RefSeq, a predicted model, not a curated record